This 511-nucleotide ribosomal RNA is filed under the name uncultured cyanobacterium. RNAcentral describes it as "bacterial SSU rRNA". It matches the Rfam family "Bacterial small subunit ribosomal RNA", at positions 28 to 535 of the family's 1533-position model. Lineage: Bacteria; Bacillati; Cyanobacteriota. The record is from RNAcentral.
GACGAACGCUGGCGGCGUGCCUAACACAUGCAAGUCGAACGAGAUUUUAUCAGAUGAAUUUUUCGGAAGGAUUCUGGUAUUUGACAGUGGCGAACGGGUGAGUAACGCGUGGGUAACCUGCCUUUAACUGGGGGAUAACACCGGGAAACUGGUGCUAAUACCGCAUAGUUGAUACCAUGGCAUCAUGGAAUCAGGAAAGGAGUAAUCCGGUUUAAGAUGGACCCGCGUCCAAUCAGCUAGUUGGUGUGGUAAAGGCUCACCAAGGCAUCGAUCAGUAGCUGGUCUGAGAGGAUGAUCAGCCACACUGGGACUGAGACACGGCCCAGACUCCUACGGGAGGCAGCAGUGGGGAAUUUUCCGCAAUGGGCGCAAGCCUGACGGAGCAACGCCGCGUGAGGGAUGAAGGCCUCUGGGCUGUAAACCUCUUUUAUCAAGGAAGAAGAUCUGACGGUACUUGAUGAAUAAGCCACGGCUAAUUCCGUGCCAGCAGCCGCGGUAAUACGGGAGUGGC